GACGAACGCUGGCGGCGUGCUUAACACAUGCAAGUCGAACGGAAAGGCCUGCUUUCCCUUGUGGAUUGCGGGUACUCGAGUGGCGAACGGGUGAGUAACACGUGAGUUAUCUGCCCCCAACUUGGGUAUAAGCCUGGGAAACUGGGUCUAAUUCCCGCUAGGACUGCAGGGUGGUGCCUGUGGUGGAAAACGAUUUUCUUGUGGUUGGGGAUGAGCUCGCGGCCUAUCAGCUUGUUGGUGGGGUAGUGUCCGACGAGGGCGGGGACGGGUAGCCUGUCAGGGGUAGUGGGCCGGCGAGGUGGGACUGCGAUACUGGCAAUACGACUACGGGAGGCAGCAUUGGGGAAUAAGGCGCGAGGGGCAGAAGACUGAGGCAGCGAGGCCGAGUGGGGGAUGACGGGCUUCGGGUUGUAACCUUCUGUCGACAGCGAGGAAGCCACCUGGUUGGAAGGGUGGUGACGGUAGUGGUAGAAGAAGCACCGGCUAACUACGUG
RNAcentral lists this ribosomal RNA (494 nucleotides) under uncultured bacterium. RNAcentral describes it as "partial 16S ribosomal RNA". It matches the Rfam family "Bacterial small subunit ribosomal RNA", at positions 28 to 507 of the family's 1533-position model. The record is from RNAcentral.